UUCUUUUAUAUGUAGGCUAUACCUUCAAUUUAAGACUAAAAUCUAAAUUUGUAUUUUGAACUAUAUUAUUUUCUAAUAAUUACUUAAGCUCCGUAGUACGGGAAUACCAUUCUUUAUCAAUAUUAUUGGCUUGGCCUAAAAAUACAGUCCGUGUCACGAGUUAAAAUGCUUAUUUCUCUGAAUUUGAACAUUCUUGAAAACAUUUAGGAUAAACACGUUAGCAAAAUAUGCAAUAAUGUUCUGGUGGUUUUUGGAUAUUUUAAUUACAUUUUAUUUUACAUAUUGUGCCUUUAAAUGUGGUAGCCUACGUCAAAGGAUUGGCUUGUGAUGAUCAAUUUGGUGCACAAAUGUGAAAUGACCUGACUCACCUGAUUCUAAUUAGGCUACUAUCUGAGAGUUCGACUGCUAAGUUUGUUGAUGGAAACUGAAGCUCUCAAACGUUUUUAAGAUAACUUUACCAGCGACGACAACAUCAUGAAAAUCAGUAUUUGUCUGGUUGAAUAAGCAGAAAAGGUGUCAUGUAAAACAUGAAACAGCAACACACAGCUGCGACACAAACUGGAAACAUUUGAUGAAGGAGAAAUCCUGAGUACGGACAACAGGUUUUAAUCAUCAGAGCAACUCAUCAUCAGCAACAACAACGAGCGCCGGAGAGCACGACACCUUCAGAUGAGCUGCAGGGAAUCUUGGCUGCAUGUUUAUUGAGAUGUGACAGUGCGAUAUGCAGUGCGGAGGGGGAUAAACGAUGUGUGUCAGGCCUGCUGGGCUCCAUAUGGUCCAUCACCAAGGUUUUCACACUACAUCACACCCAUGAGAUGGAUGAACACAGGCUGCCUGUUUACCAGUCAUCCUUCAGAUCAAAUGAUGAGGGCCAGCAGAACAGAAAGUGAGACACGGUCGUCUUGGGUUUUGGGCUUGGCUUCCCUCCAGCUGUGUGUCCUUCCCCUGCCAUCCUCACUGGAGCUCAGGCUGAACUGGCAAGCUAGGGGAAUGCUUUGAAUGUUAAUGAAAUAUGUCAUCGCGAGUUGUCUCAGUAAUUAAUUGUUCACAUCACAUAUUUGAAAGGCCACCAGGAAGCGGUCCCAGUAGCGCUGCGGUGUGUUGCCUGUUUAAGAAUGGAGCUCCACUUUGAGGUUGGAAUAGGAGUGCAUCUAUUGAAGGGUAGUAAUAUCAACAGCCAUUGCUGUGUGUCUAUAAAACCAGAUUAAAUAAAGUAGAGAUUAGUAUACUAGCUUUUGUUACAUCAUAACUGCUACUAGUUUCUACACUCCAAUACUCUCCUCCAUUUUAUGGAGCGAUGUAAUGAUUGAUUCAAUGGCUCACUCAUGAAAAAAGUCACUUCUUUGGGCUAAUCACUUCGGUAGGAAACUACAGUGAAUGUCUUUCUGAGUGGUUUGAACAAACUGGAAAAUGAAAGGAUUUAACAGCUCCCUGUUAGACACAUCAAUUGGCUUCAUUAUUGAAUGAAUGAAUGGUUUCAAUGGAUUUGUAGAAUUAAUGAUUCAAUGAAGUUAUAAAUCAGGGUGUACACAGAUCCAAGUCCUAAAAAGUCUAAUAGUAUAAAGAUAAUGCCUCUAUUGGUCUUAAAAUGUCUUUAAUCUGCUUUUCAAAGAUCUUAAAGUGCAAUCCAACUGACCACGUAAAGAAGAUUUUGUUUCUGUUUUGAAGCCUGCCGAAAAUCUGUCUGUUUGUCACCCAGAACGAAAAAGGUGGAACCCAAUACAACAAAUGCUUGUGGGGAUUUCGCUUACACAAGCAGAUUUCGUAGGGAUUAUACUCUAAAAUAGCUGUUGACAUCUGCGUCAACCCAUACAUUAGGAAAUACAGGACCAGAGAUGCUCUGAAUCUGCCAAUUUUUUUAUGAAUGACUGUUCUGAGAGGUAACUGCUGAUUCUGCUGAAUCACAAUUAUUAUUAAUGUUAUUGGUCUUACUUUAUAUUAAGUGACCUUAACUAAUAUGUACUUACACAAGAAGUAUUUAUUGUGUACUUAUGCUUGAUUAAAUACCUGUAUGUAAACACAUCUGUAGUUAACUUCUGUAAUUACAUUUGUAAAUACACUGCUGACCAUUCCCUACACCUUAACCCACCUCUAAACCUACCCAUACCACCAAACCUGUCCAUAACCCAACCCCUAUCCUAACUCAAGAGCACCACAAGUGUUCCAAAUACAUUAUGAACACAGUAAGUACAUUGUAUUUAUUUUUUGAUGCAAGUACAUAGUAGUUAAGGACACUUAUUAUAAAGUGGGACCAUGUUAUUUAUUAUUAGUCAGUUCAAUCACUGUUUCUAGGUUUUUUUACUCUUUCUAUAUAUAACAAAGAGCGUUAAGGAUUGUAAUUAAUUAGUUGUUUUGUGUGUUUUCUUUGAAAAUUCAGUACUAUAAAAUUACACUAUACGAUUCCAAUUCUAAGUCUUUUAAGUCUUAAACUUCAUUCUAUGUGGUGUUAAAAAGGUAUUAAAGUUUUAAUUAUUACUCCUAGAAACUAUUUAGAAUGCACCGCUUUAAAUUUCCCAUGGCAAGCCUAUAAUUGGAAACAAAGACAAUGAUUUGUACAUAUGUUGUGUAUUGUUUCAUUUUUUUUCUCUUUACAGCAAAUAUUACCAAUCGUCCUAAUUAUUUUGUGAAAUAUCUGAUAUUUUGAUUCUCAAAUAUGUGUAAUAACUUAUAUUUUGUCUUUUAAACAGCUUGAAAAGAAUAAUUUUAUUUGAUAUAUGACGGGUAAUGGGCAUUGCCACAUUUAGUCUAUGCUGCUGGAGAGAUUAAAGAUUUACAAAAUGUUUAUAUAUAUUUUUUUCUUCUGAAAUACAUGAAAGUAAGAGACUGUUUAACUGGGAGAGGAUUAGAGUAAAUAUUCAUUGUGCAUAUUACAUGAAUGCAGCACAUUGUCCGGUUAUAUUUAAAAAACAAUUAUUAUUGGCAUCACCAUAGACACAAAUAUUAAAUG
This 2947-nucleotide long non-coding RNA is filed under the name Danio rerio (zebrafish). RNAcentral describes it as "si:ch211-8o18.1 (ENSDARG00000117466.1)". The record is from RNAcentral. Lineage: Eukaryota; Metazoa; Chordata; Actinopteri; Cypriniformes; Danionidae.